GAUGAACGCUAGCGGCAGGCCUAACACAUGCAAGUCGAGGGAGAAGCCCUUCGGGGCAGAAACCGGCGCACGGGUGCGUAACGCGUAUGCAACCUACCUUUCACAGGGGGAUAGCCCGAAGAAAUUUGGAUUAAUACCCCAUAAUAUUAUUGGAUGGCAUCAUCUGAUAAUUAAAAUUACGAUGGUGGAAGAUGGGCAUGCGUCCUAUUAGCUAGUUGGAGUGGUAACGGCACCCCAAGGCUACGAUAGGUAGGGGUCCUGGGAGGGAGAUCCCCCACACUGGUACUGAGACAGGGACCAGACUCCUACGGGAGGCAGCAGUGAGGAAUAUUGGUCAAUGGUCGGAAGACUGAACCAGCCAUGCCGCGUGCAGGAAGAAUGCCUUAUGGGUUGUAAACUACUUUUAUAUGGGAAGAAUAAGGCGUACGCGUACG
This 434-nucleotide ribosomal RNA is filed under the name Capnocytophaga granulosa. RNAcentral's name for it is "bacterial SSU rRNA". It matches the Rfam family "Bacterial small subunit ribosomal RNA", at positions 28 to 465 of the family's 1533-position model. The record is from RNAcentral. Lineage: Bacteria; Pseudomonadati; Bacteroidota; Flavobacteriia; Flavobacteriales; Flavobacteriaceae.